RNAcentral lists this long non-coding RNA (616 nucleotides) under Mytilus galloprovincialis (Mediterranean mussel). Lineage: Eukaryota; Metazoa; Mollusca; Bivalvia; Mytilida; Mytilidae. The record is from RNAcentral.
GUGGGUUUACUCUGGUGAAGUUUUAUCAUAAGUCUAUAUAAUGUAUUAGAUAAUUUAUUCUCACUUGAGAGCAUAUCAUUCCAAAACAUAACCAUACGUAGCUUAAUAGUAAUAUCAAUGGGAUAACGACCCAGUUCCCCGUAAACCAUAAAAUUUGGCGUACUUUUCCUCACGUGCAGAAUAUUUUUACAAAACUGCAAGUGCAUCCGUUCCAAUCCCUGCUUAUUUUCAAAUCCCCAUACUUCACUAGAGUAAAUCAUUAUAGGUAAGAUAAGACAAUCAAAAAGCUUAAGCUGUAUAUCUACGGGUAUUGCAAUAUUUCUAAUCUUUCUAUAUAGUGCAUACAAUGCUUUAUUGGACUGUUCCAAUAAUUUCUUUCUAGCUGAACAAAAAGAGCCGUUAUAAUUAAAUACAAUACCCAGAUAAGUAUAUGAGUCUAAUACAUCAAUAUUUUUACCAUAGAUUUCAAAAUCUGCUUUAACCUUGAAUUUCUUUUUGCUGAAAAUUACAAUUUUUGUUUUGCUUGUAUUAACUGUGAGUUUCCACUCAUUACAAUAUUGCUCAAAAACUUUCAAUGCAUGUUGCAGAUCCUCCUCUGACUCAGAUAAAAUAACUG